This 433-nucleotide ribosomal RNA is filed under the name uncultured bacterium. RNAcentral's name for it is "partial 16S ribosomal RNA". It matches the Rfam family "Bacterial small subunit ribosomal RNA", at positions 29 to 507 of the family's 1533-position model. The record is from RNAcentral.
AACGAACGCUGGCGGCAUGCCUAACACAUGCAAGUCGAACGAGACCUUCGGGUCUAGUGGCGCACGGGUGCGUAACGCGUGGGAACCUGCCCUUAGGUUCGGAAUAACUCCCCGAAAGGGGUGCUAAUACCGGAUAAUGUCUUCGGACCAAAGAUUUAUCGCCUUUGGAUGGGCCCGCGUUGGAUUAGCUAGUUGGUAGGGUAAAAGCCUACCAAGGCGACGAUCCAUAGCUGGUCUGAGAGGAUGAUCAGCCACACUGGGACUGAGACACGGCCCAGACUCCUACGGGAGGCAGCAGUGGGGAAUAUUGGACAAUGGGCGAAAGCCUGAUCCAGCAAUGCCGCGUGAGUGAUGAAGGCCUUAGGGUUGUAAAGCUCUUUUACCCGGGAUGAUGAUGACAGUACCGGGAGAAUAAGCUCCGGCUAACUCAGUG